AGAGUUUGAUCCUGGCUCAGGACGAACGCUGGCGGCGUGCUUAACACAUGCAAGUCGAACGGUAAGGCCCUUCGGGGUACACGAGUGGCGAACGGGUGAGUAACACGUGGGUAAUCUGCCCUGCACAUCGGGAUAAGCCUGGGAAACUGGGUCUAAUACCGAAUAGGACCACAGGACACAUGUCCUGUGGUGGAAAGCUUUUGCGGUGUGGGAUGGGCCCGCGGCCUAUCAGCUUGUUGGUGGGGUGAUGGCCUACCAAGGCGACGACGGGUAGCCGGCCUGAGAGGGUGUCCGGCCACACUGGGACUGAGAUACGGCCCAGACUCCUACGGGAGGCAGCAGUGGGGAAUAUUGCACAAUGGGCGAAAGCCUGAUGCAGCGACGCCGCGUGGGGGAUGACGGCCUUCGGGUUGUAAACCUCUUUCACCAUCGACGAAGGUCCGGGUUUUCUCGGGCUGACGGUAGGUGGAGAAGAAGCGCCGGCCAACUACGUGCCAGCAGCCGCGGUAAUACGUAGGGUGCGAGCGUUGUCCGGAAUUACUGGGCGUAAAGAGCUCGUAGGUGGUUUGUCGCGUUGUUCGUGAAAUCUCACGGCUUAACUGUGAGCGUGCGGGCGAUACGGGCAGACUUGAGUACUGCAGGGGAGACUGGAAUUCCUGGUGUAGCGGUGGAAUGCGCAGAUAUCAGGAGGAACACCGGUGGCGAAGGCGGGUCUCUGGGCAGUAACUGACGCUGAGGAGCGAAAGCGUGGGGAGCGAACAGGAUUAGAUACCCUGGUAGUCC
This 783-nucleotide ribosomal RNA is filed under the name uncultured bacterium. Its description in RNAcentral is "bacterial SSU rRNA". It matches the Rfam family "Bacterial small subunit ribosomal RNA", at positions 8 to 796 of the family's 1533-position model. The record is from RNAcentral.